This 253-nucleotide ribosomal RNA is filed under the name uncultured bacterium. RNAcentral describes it as "partial 16S ribosomal RNA". It matches the Rfam family "Bacterial small subunit ribosomal RNA", at positions 524 to 776 of the family's 1533-position model. The record is from RNAcentral.
UACGUAGGUGGCAAGCGUUGUCCGGAUUUAUUGGGUUUAAAGGGCGCGUAGGCGGUCCUGAUCGUCGGAUGUGAAAGGCCUGGGCUCAACCUGGGAACUGCAUCCGAUACGGCGGGACUGGAGUGUGGGAGAGGUUGGUGGAAUUCCCAGUGUAGAGGUGAAAUUCGUAGAUAUUGGGAAGAACACCGGUGGCGAAGGCGGCCAACUGGACCACAACUGACGCUGAGGCGCGAAAGCGUGGGGAGCAAACAGG